GGACCCGUCGUCUAGCCUGGAUCAGGACAUGGGCCUUCGGAGCCCAAGAUCGCGGGUUCGAAUCCCGCCGGGUCCA
RNAcentral lists this transfer RNA (76 nucleotides) under Candidatus Bathyarchaeota archaeon. Its description in RNAcentral is "tRNA-Arg". It matches the Rfam family "tRNA". From Rfam's summary of the family: Transfer RNA (tRNA) molecules are approximately 80 nucleotides in length. The record is from RNAcentral. Lineage: Archaea; Thermoproteati; Candidatus Bathyarchaeota.